GUUGAUAGCAACGAAUCAGAGACCAAGCUUUCCUUUGAAGAUGUUAAAACGGAAGAUUUUGGCGAGUACAGAUGUGAAAUCCGCAAUCCAAAAGGAAAAACAUCAAAAAUUAUUAGGCUUGACCAAAAUACACAACCAAUGGAUCGACAGACAACAACAAAACUACCUUCAUCACCACCACAACCACCACCUUCAUCAACAGGAGGUGAAUCAGAUGCUGAUCCUGAUGCAGGCAAGAGUGUUGAUAUUGCUACUUCAGUUACAGCAUCAGCGGUUGUGAUGGUAACAGCUCUGUUUGCAUCUCUCAUCCUCUAAUUAUGAUGUCAAAGUAAUUGCCGUAAGAAAUGGGGAAAAUAAGCAAGAAUUUUAACAUGUCUAAUAAUGAUAUAAUUAGUGAAGAGAUUUUGAAGUCAUUCUAAAAAUGAAAUUAUAUCUGUGGUAAUCUCCAUUAAAGCAUGUGAUGUGUGGUUGAAGUAUUUCAGACCAUAUAAAACAUGCACAAAUCUUUAAAUUGUUUCACAUAAUAUAUACUCCACAUUUUACUUAAUAUUCUAAACAAAUUCGUCCAAUGGUAAGUUGUCAUCUGUGCAGUUAGUCAGUAAGAGCUAAUUACACAAACCUAUCGUAGAUUUGUGUCCAAAAAACAUUUUUGUCCUAAUUAUAACAUUGAUUAUGCAUUUAAAAUUUUAAACCAAAAAAUGAAUAUACCUAUUUUUGUAAUUCUAUCUAUUUAUCUAUGUCUGUAGUACAGUAUGUAGUGUAGGUUGUAUUUAUUCUUGAUAACAUAAAUCAUUAGUCUAAGGGAAUGUUUAACUGAAUAGAAUAGCAAUAUACCCCCAGGAGAAGAAGUCUUUUAAUGUAGAAGACAUCAAUAUUAUAGUCUGUAGUCUUCUGCCAAUGAAAAAAUAUGCUUCUGAGAGACUGACUGCAAUGAAUAUUGCUUUUCGCAUUCUAAAGAGCUUCAAUACAGGAUGGGACUUUUUGGAAAGGGGGUAUUUUUUUUUAAUUGCAUACAUUUUUGAAUUUGUCAUUUUCAGACAUAUAAGGGUUUACACAUUUUGCUUGAGAAAGAAAUCAAAUUUUGUUUUGUAACUUUUAAACAUUGUUUUAACAGAUUGUAUGGAAUUGAUAUUUCCUAGCAUUGUACCAAGGCCACAAUAUGUUAUCAAGUUGGUUAUUUAGGUUUGUACCAAGGACACAAGUUUAAUGAAGUUUCUCACAAACCAUUUGUACUAUUAAAGACUUAAAUUUAUGCAAAUAAUCUGGUUGCUUUAGUUUAAAAUUAUCUGGAGCGAUUAACCAGCUCCAGCUCGGUCUUCGGUUUACUCAUUACCUAUAGGUUUCCUCUAUUUACAUAAAUAUCAGUUCUGGUGUUGCAAUGAAACCUGUCUAAAUCGAACACCAGAAUGUUGUAUGGAUUGCUGUGCUGUGCUGUGGUCAGUCAGACUUGGAUUGACAGAUUAGCUGUAUCAUGUUAAUUAGCAUCCAUAUUUGGCACACUUUAAAAACGGGCAAAACAAUAGACUGUCUUGUAUUCAUUCAUAUUUGCACGAUUCUAAUAGGGCUGACAAAAUAGACAGUGUACAUGUGCAGUUAACCUGUUUUUCUUUCAAGUUGACAUAUUUGUUCACCUUAACCUGUAAUAGUAGCCUUAUAAUUAUUACGGAUUUAAUUGAUCAGUAUUUUUGACAUAAAUGUUUUUAACAGCACACAUUAUUUGUCCUACAUAGAAUAGAGAUAUUCAACAUAAUCUUGAUGAAAGGUUUCGCUUGCAUAUUAUUAAAGUCAUCAAUUUAACCAAUAUAUUUGUUUUACACUUGAAUGUUUUUAUGAAUGCAAAUAUUUAGAGCAAGCUGUGAAAACAAAUCUUUUUAAGAUUUACUAUUAUUCCUAACUAUUUGUAACAAAGUUUCAACAAAAUUGAUUUCUCAUAUUGACUCGUUUGUAUUUAUUUCAGGUAAAAUAAUUAAUUUGUGGGUCAAGUUAUAUAUUUCCUAUACUGAUGAGACUAUAAUAUUUUCUGUCACUUAUCAAUUCGUUUCUAUUUAGGGUCAUGUUGCCUUGACAACUUGUUUGUAUAUGUAGAAUGUAUUAUGUUUAAUAACUAAUUUGAAUUUAUGAUUUUUUAUAUAACAAGUAUCAGUUUGUAAACAUUUUAGUUUUAUGGCAAUAUUUAGAGGUAAAUUAAUGUUUACAAAAUAUCAGAAAGAAUUCCCAUGUUAAUAUAUAUUGAGCCUGGGGAAAUUCUGAUUGCAUUGUUUUCAAUCUUAAAAUACCUGGUCAGCAUUUCCUUUGCUUCGAUCAAUUUAAAAAAAAAAGCUUCAUAUGCAGGCUUCAUCAAUUAUAUGAUGCAGUAUUUGCUCUAUUAGAAGCACACAUCAAAUUGUAUGCUGGAUUAUUAAAAUAUGACAAUAAUUUGACGGUUACCUUGUCAUUAAUAGAGCAAAUAUGGCAUCUUGAUUUCUGCAACUGAAUUUGAGGUAAUUUACCUGAAUGCUAAACUGUGAGCAAUUAAAAAACAUUUUAACAAGAUUCAAUGAAUGUAUGACAUUUUUAUAACCAAGAAAUUUUCAAGCAAUUUAUCUUAGAUAUGUGAAUGAUUUUGAACUAAGCACUGUUAUAAGACAAAUUGUUCAAAUCCAGAUUGUGAAUUUAGAAAGUUGUAAUAUUCAUGUAGAUGACAUUAAAUAUAAUGAAAAUUUUUAACAAA
Long non-coding RNA from Saccoglossus kowalevskii, 2710 nucleotides. The record is from RefSeq and is a predicted model, not a curated record. Lineage: Eukaryota; Metazoa; Hemichordata; Enteropneusta; Harrimaniidae.